CAAGCAGGAAAGCCUGCUAAUAAAGAUCCCCGCACACCUCUCCUGAACCUGAUGAAGGGAUACUUCAUACUAACAAGAUGUCAAGCAUUGCCGCCUUCAGUGUUCAGAUCGUAAAUUUGGUUCCAGUACUGUACUUUAUGAAAGAGUGUGUUGACGUUAGUACGGAUGCCACGGAUACUGCUCGAAGAUUGGCUAGACUUACUAUCAAAGGAACUUAAUGGAAAGUUAUAUACCAGGUUCGUGCUGGACUUCUCCGUGUCAACAAUCUCCAACUCCGGUGUCCUGUUUUUCGUCCCGUAGUGCUAACGAAAAGAAAAUUCUUCUCAAGUUCAACGACGAAAAGGUAACUGUCUAUCACUAAUCACUAUAUGCGAGGUAAACCUAUGGAGUUGGCAUGGAGGGCAGCAUCAACGAUGGGGUUACACAUAGGGGCCCGAUCGAUGAUAUAUAAAGUGAAGAGUUACAAGUUCUACAAGACUUAUCUGUUCACCGGUUUAUCAAAUCAUGAUUUGGAAAAACUUAAUUCAUGAACUCGAGACUCUAAGUUACUGAGUUAUAUUAUUAUUUCCUGUAUUGCCGGGAAGGCUGUUAAUUUAGGAUAGAGUUUUUGUGGCACUUAUCUCAGCUUGUUCUUUUGUAGUUGUUCUCACACAGCUGAGUAAAAGUUUCAAAACUU
Long non-coding RNA from Bolinopsis microptera, 676 nucleotides. RefSeq lists it as uncharacterized. The transcript has 5 exons. The record is from RefSeq and is a predicted model, not a curated record. Lineage: Eukaryota; Metazoa; Ctenophora; Tentaculata; Lobata; Bolinopsidae.